Molecule: ribosomal RNA, 489 nt
Filed under: uncultured bacterium
Lineage: Bacteria
Description: partial 16S ribosomal RNA
Rfam family: Bacterial small subunit ribosomal RNA
Source: RNAcentral
GAUGAACGCUAGCGGCAGGCCUAAUACAUGCAAGUCGAACGGGAUCCAGAUCAAAGCUUGCUUUGGUCUGGUGAGAGUGGCGCACGGGUGCGUAACGCGUGAGCAACCUACCCUUGUCAGGGGGAUAGCCCGGCGAAAGUCGGAUUAAUACCGCAUGACAUCAUUGAGAGGCAUCUUUCGAUGAUCAAAGAUUUAUCGGACAAGGAUGGGCUCGCGUGACAUUAGCUAGUUGGUAAGGUAACGGCUUACCAAGGCUGCGAUGUCUAGGGGCUCUGAGAGGGAAAACCCCCAACCGGGUACUGGGACACGGCCCAGACUCCUACGGGAGGCAGCAGUAAGGAAUAUUGGUCAAGGGACGGAAGUUGAAACCAGCCUGGCCGCGGGCAGGGGGCCGGCCCUUUGGGUUGUAAAAUGUUUUUAUACGGAAAAAACCGUGGGUACGUGAACCGGUCGGGGUGUACCGAAAAAAAAAGGAUCGGCUAACCCCGU